This 73-nucleotide transfer RNA is filed under the name Leptolyngbya sp. NIES-2104. RNAcentral describes it as "tRNA-Thr". It matches the Rfam family "tRNA". Rfam says of the family: Transfer RNA (tRNA) molecules are approximately 80 nucleotides in length. Their secondary structure includes four short double-helical elements and three loops (D, anti-codon, and T loops). The record is from RNAcentral. Lineage: Bacteria; Bacillati; Cyanobacteriota; Cyanophyceae; Leptolyngbyales; Leptolyngbyaceae.
GCCGAUGUAGCUCAGUUGGUAGAGCAGGUCAUUCGUAAUGAUCAGGUCGCGUGUUCGAGUCACGUCAUCGGCU